CAACAUAAUUGGUUCACAUACUUAAACAAUUAUCUUCAAAAUUAGGGCAUUAAAACGAACCAACACCUGCAAAACCAUCGAUCAAACUAAAUCAGCUAACAAAGUCGAAUCACCGGAAGCAGAACCGUGAUAUACAUAGUGCAUUAAGUUUAAGCAAGUAACAACAAUCUGUUUUAGAGUUUACCAUGAAAGGAGUGGAAAAAUGGUGGCUUAAGUGAUGAGAUGAUACCUUGAAGUCGAAAUCAGUGUUGGUGGUGGCAAGAGUGGCGGAGUGAGGAUGAAUUAGAGAGAGAGGAUGAAUCAAUAUAAUAGUGGUACCGGCUUUUGAAAUCUCACACUGAUUGAAAAAGUC
Molecule: long non-coding RNA, 352 nt
Filed under: Lathyrus oleraceus (garden pea)
Lineage: Eukaryota; Viridiplantae; Streptophyta; Magnoliopsida; Fabales; Fabaceae
Description: Pisum sativum (pea) long non-coding RNA (PSAT_LNC026848)
Source: RNAcentral